This 250-nucleotide ribosomal RNA is filed under the name uncultured Lachnospiraceae bacterium. RNAcentral's name for it is "partial 16S ribosomal RNA". It matches the Rfam family "Bacterial small subunit ribosomal RNA", at positions 89 to 339 of the family's 1533-position model. The record is from RNAcentral. Lineage: Bacteria; Bacillati; Bacillota; Clostridia; Lachnospirales; Lachnospiraceae.
GACUGAGUGGCGGACGGGUGAGUAACGCGUGGAUAACCUGCCUCAUACAGGGGGAUAACAGUUAGAAAUGACUGCUAAUACCGCAUAAGCGCACGGGAACGCAUGUUCCUGUGUGAAAAGCCGAGACGGUAUGAGAUGGAUCCGCGUCUGAUUAGCUAGUUGGUGAGGUAACGGCCCACCAAGGCGACGAUCAGUAGCCGACCUGAGAGGGUGACCGGCCACAUUGGGACUGAGACACGGCCCAAACUCC